UCCGAGUUGACCCCGGCAGUCUCCUGCGAGUCCCCGCCAUUACGCGCUGGCAACACAGGACAAGGGUUGCGCUCGUUGCGGGACUUAACCCAACAUCUCACGACACGAGCUGACGACAGCCAUGCACCACCUGUAUACCGACCACAAGGGGGGCCGUAUCUCUACGGCUUUCCGGUAUAUGUCAAACCCAGGUAAGGUGGGGAUGACGUUCGUCUGAC
RNAcentral lists this unclassified non-coding RNA (218 nucleotides) under uncultured Nocardiaceae bacterium. RNAcentral's name for it is "contains 16S-23S intergenic spacer region". Lineage: Bacteria; Bacillati; Actinomycetota; Actinomycetes; Mycobacteriales; Nocardiaceae. The record is from RNAcentral.